This is a non-coding RNA of Misgurnus anguillicaudatus (oriental weatherfish), 2993 nucleotides long. Lineage: Eukaryota; Metazoa; Chordata; Actinopteri; Cypriniformes; Cobitidae. The record is from RefSeq and is a predicted model, not a curated record.
UUUUCUGUCUAUUUCUUGCAACCUAUCUCUAUAUACUGCAUCUGUUGUACCUGUCUGUCCAGCUGUGUGUUUGUCCUUCUGUCUUUGUCUGCUUUGCAAUGGCCACCAGAUAUACCCCUCACAAACAGGAUCCCCACUACCAAGAGGGGAGGCUCAUGGCUCUUGAGCUGAACCAUGACCACAUUCUAGCUGAAGCCAAGAGAGCAGCUGUGGAGACGAAACGUUUAUGCCCUAGAAGAGACCCUUCACAGACCUCUAAAAGGAUCUUUGUUGGCUGGGGCAUGCCGAGUCCUUGGGAGGCAAGGAGGGGUGACGCCAAGCCUCAGCUACAGUCAGUUUUACAGGUUGAGUGCUUCCUGUCAUCCAGUGUGGAGAUUUCACCUAACUGUACCCUCAGCAAAACUAAAUCCUCAUGAGGAAUUUGGUGCAGAGAGUGGUUCUGUGGGGACCGUGGUGUAUUACGUCACAAAAAACAGCCACUCCACAAUAGGGAAUGUGUAAUUUAAUAGGUUUCUUGAAUCCAUCCGUCCAACCAAAUGCAUCAUUAAAGGGGAAGAUGGAUAUUGCACUCAACACAAGUCGGCAAGAUGACAUACUGCUGUUGUAAACGCACAAACAUAUGUUCAUCAUUCACCAGUUCUCACUUCCCUGGACUUCAACCUUGCUACACACAUGGUAUCGUUAUUAAUCGAAACAAAGACAGAUAUCUGUAUGUUUUUGUUCUCUGCAGACAAACAAAAAAUAUAAGCUGUUGCAAAGCAAUUUGGGCGUUUUGACUUGCAUCAGCCACUGUAUGUCUGUUAAACAUGCAAACAGCAAAGGACCCCAGACCUGAAAGACCUUCUGAGGAGUGGAUAUUGGCCAGCUUCAAUAAACAACACCACACUUUACACACUGGACCUCCUGAUCUCCUUUCAAGAACUCAAGGUCAUCUCUCCAAGAUUCUCCAGACAAGCCUUCGCAAAGCUGCUGGAGCAUCGCACGAAGUGUGGAGGAAGAUCUGGAUAUAUCAACGGCGAUGCACUGCAACGCAGCUUCUUGGAGUUUUCAUACGCUUCAUUUGAAGCAGACCAGCUCUGCUGUGGUGCUCCUUUCACCUGCCAAGCCUGAACGCUAGAAUUGUUGGCUGCCUCAGCAGAUCGAAACAGAAAGCUAUAUCACUUUUGCCCAAACAGAAGACUGUGGCUUGCAAAUAUUGGCCAUACUUGAAGAAAGUUGCUAGUGUCCUUCCUGAUCUUCAGGAGCUGACCUCAAUGAAACCUUUUCUUAAUGUUAUGCAUGCUUGAGCCACGCUACAAAGUGUGAGAUUAAAUGAAGUGGUAGGAACAGGGACAACCACCGGUGUGUGGAACAAGUGAACAGCUGCCUAUCACGUUGUGCCCGUACAACCAAAUGGGUGGACAUGCUUACAUUGCAUGCAAUGGGCUGGAACCAUAAAAAGUAUCUCUCUACAUCAGGCACUUUCCACAAUAUAUGUGAAAACAUCCAGCACGAGACUGCAAGGCUAGCAGAACUAAAAACAAAGCUACAUCGCACAGAUAAAGGGGCGUCACAAUGGCUUUCUGAUGUGAAAGAAUGGGUAGCUCAUGAGACAUCAGAAACAUCUCAUGCCAGUCAAGACACCACACACAGAGAACUUCAGCAGUCAAUUGAGGGGCUUUAUCUUGGUGUGAUGCUCUGCAAGCAAACUCUCUACCGUCAGAAUGACAGCAGCAAGCUUCCCUAACUGGAGAGAGCAGUGUGUCUCAGAUAUGGCCGCGGGACCUUCAUGGCAGUGCAAACAUUUCAGUCAAGAAACGAUUGCAUGACCAAGUGAUGUUGACAAUGUGACUGCAAGAGGAAAGGGGCAUUGUGGUGUUGGAGAUGGCUCAACAAUACACAUGGUUGCAGAGGCUGGCAGUGGCUCUCAAGAACAAGAUGGCUGAGGAGGACAAGGGAAAUGAAGGACUUUGCUGUCUCUUAAGAAGAAGAUCGUCAGUGGUGACAGAAGGAUUACAAGUCGUCCUUCAACAAUACAAGACUGCAUUAGGUCUUGAGGCCUCUGUCCUUCUACAUGUUGAAGAAGAAGAUCAAAGUGACCUCAGCAGUCCAGAUACCAGUGAGGAUGAAGAGGAAAACAUAAUUUAGAUAGAAACUGCACAAAGGACUGCGUUUAAGGAAAUGGACUUGGCAUAUAUCUGUGUAGUGUUAGUAUGCUAACUACAUUAAAAUCUGUAUGCAUCCUAUAUUGUUGAAAUGUUCAACCUGUGUCUAGAUUAUCAAGCAUGUUAUUUAGCACGUUGAUGCUCCUUAAAUAUGCACAAACAUCUCAAUAUAGGUGCAACCAUUGUAUGAUAUUAUCAGAUGUAAUAAUUGAACUGAUGUUAUAUUUGGCUAGUGUAUUCAUAAUUUGUGUAUUUAAAGUUGCUAAUGGGCAUUGUUAGCCACAUCACAAACUCACUGUUAAAACACUGCUUAUUGUGCCUUAUUGUGUUUAUGUACUUGCAUUGGUGCAGUAAUAUCGAUGUUAUGCAGUAAGGUCAUUGGUGUGUUUUACAAUGGCUUUGAACAGAGCUCAACCAAUCAGAAUAAUCAUUGAUAAUAAAGUAAGUUUUAUAAUGGGUAAGUUGAUAUGAAAUAUUGUAAGCACAUUCAUCAGGAUGACUUUGCUGACCUUGUGACCUUUAUUACCACAUUUAGGCCAAAACGUGAAAACUCUACUUGAUUGAGUGUAUUAUAGGAUUGUGCACCAUUGAAGAUAAACAUCAUAAAUUCUUUCUUAAAGAUGGAUAAUUUGUUGGCAAUGUGUCUGUCACUAUUAAACACUAUAGUAUGGAAAAGAAAAAUACACUACAUUUAUAUUUUAUGAUUAUACUUAUAUUGUGUAUUACUACAUUUGAUAGAUAACUUUAUUCCCUGUUCUGCUGGUGGUUUUCAAGUGAACUUCACAGUCUAGUGUUAUUAAAUUCAGCCUUAUGGCUUGAUUGACAAAUUUGCAUUUCAUGUAUUUUCAC